GUGGGGAAUAUUGGACAAUGGGGGGAACCCUGAUCCAGCCAUGCCGCGUGUGUGAAGAAGGCCUUUUGGUUGUAAAGCACUUUAAGCGAGGAGGAGGCUACCGAGAUUAAUACUCUUGGAUAGUGGACGUUACUCGCAGAAUAAGCACCGGCUAACUCUGUGCCAGCAGCCGCGGUAAUACAGAGGGUGCAAGCGUUAAUCGGAUUUACUGGGCGUAAAGCGCGCGUAGGUGGCCAAUUAAGUCAAAUGUGAAAUCCCCGAGCUUAACUUGGGAAUUGCAGUCGAUACUGGUUGGCUAGAGUAUGGGAGAGGAUGGUAGGAUUCCAGGUGUAGCGGUGAAAUGCGUAGAGAUCUGGAGGAAUACCGAUGGCGAAGGCAGCCAUCUGGCCUAAUACUGACACUGAGGUGCGAAAGCAUGGGGAGCAAACAGGAUUAGAAACCCUAGUAGUCC
This 451-nucleotide ribosomal RNA is filed under the name uncultured bacterium. RNAcentral describes it as "partial 16S ribosomal RNA". It matches the Rfam family "Bacterial small subunit ribosomal RNA", at positions 354 to 796 of the family's 1533-position model. The record is from RNAcentral.